RNAcentral lists this non-coding RNA (29 nucleotides) under Homo sapiens (human). The record is from RNAcentral. Lineage: Eukaryota; Metazoa; Chordata; Mammalia; Primates; Hominidae.
GCCAUGUAAACCUGAGAUCAGAUGGAAGC